AAUCCAUGCAUCAGACAUUUUUGAAGUAAUUCUUUAAAUCAUUCCCAAGCUUCAUAUAGCGUUUCAGCCUCCACUUGCUAGAAAGAUGUGAUGUCAUUUCUAAACUU
Non-coding RNA from Gossypium raimondii (Peruvian cotton), 107 nucleotides. The record is from Rfam. NCBI's taxonomy places the organism in Eukaryota, Viridiplantae, Streptophyta, Magnoliopsida, Malvales, Malvaceae.